RNAcentral lists this ribosomal RNA (403 nucleotides) under bacterium. RNAcentral describes it as "partial 16S ribosomal RNA". It matches the Rfam family "Bacterial small subunit ribosomal RNA", at positions 355 to 776 of the family's 1533-position model. The record is from RNAcentral.
UGGGGAAUAUUGCACAAUGGGGGAAACCCUGAUGCAGCGACGCCGCGUGAACGAAGAAGGUAUUCGUAUCGUAAAGUUCUGUCCUAUGGGAAGAUAAUGACAGUACCAUAGAAGAAAGCUCCGGCUAAAUACGUGCCAGCAGCCGCGGUAAUACGUAUGGAGCGAGCGUUGUCCGGAAUUAUUGGGCGUAAAGGGUACGCAGGCGGUUUAAUAAGUCGAAUGUUAAAGAUCGGGGCUCAACCCCGCAAAGCAUUGGAAACUGAUAAACUUGAGUAGUGGAGAGGAAAGUGGAAUUCCUAGUGUAGUGGUGAAAUACGUAGAUAUUAGGAGGAAUACCAGUAGCGAAGGCGACUUUCUGGACACAAACUGACGCUGAGGUAUGAAAGCGUGGGGAGCAAACAGG